CGGCCGGGGCGGAGCCAGGCCGCGCCGGUGGAAGAUGUCGGCGCAGGGGGACUGCGAGUUCCUGGUGAAGCGGGCCCGGGAGCUGGUGCCGGGGGACCUGUGGGCGGCCAAGGCCUGGCUCAUCACGGCGCGGAGCCUCUACCCCGCCGACUUCAACAUACAAUAUGAGAUGUACACUAUUGAGAGGAAUGCUGAAAGGACAGCGUCUGCAGGCAGGCUGCUCUACGACAUGUUUGUCAAUUUUCCAGACCAGCCUGCUGUGUGGAGGGAGAUCAGUGUUAUUACAUCAGCAUUAAGGAAUGACUCCCAGGACAAGCAGACACAGUUUUUAAGAGGAUUAUUUGAGACCCUUCCUGGUCGGAUUCAGUGUGAAAUGCUCCUGAAGGCAACAGAGCAGUGCUUUAACACAUUAGAAAGGGCAGAAAUGCUCCUUCUACUUCUGCGGCGUUUCCCAGAGACUGUGGUGCAGCACGGGGUAGGCCUUGGAGAAACGUUAUUAGAUGCUGAAAGUAUUGAAGACCAAGAAUCUCCAGUGAAUUGUUUUAGAAAAUUAUUUGUUUGUGAUGUUCUUCCUCUGAUAAUUAACAACCCUGAUGUACGACUUCCUGCCAGCUUGUUAUAUAAAUAUCUGAAUAAAGCAGCAGAAUUUUAUAUUAAUUAUGUGACUAGAUCUACACAGACAGAAAGUCAAUAUCAAGGUUCACAAGAUUCCUCUGAUAUUAUGUCUCCAAGCAAGCGCAGCUCUCAGAAAUAUGUAAUAGAUGGUCUCACAGAGAAAUCAUCCCAGAUUACAGAUCCUUGGGAGAGGCUGUUUAAAAUACUGUCUGUGGUGGGAAUGAGGUGUGAGUGGCAAAUGGAUAAGGGAAGAAGGAGUUACGGUGACAUUCUGCAUCGAAUGAAAGAUCUCUGCAGAUACAUCAGUAACUUUGAUAGUGAAGCCCACAUUAAAUACAAGAAUCAAGUAGUGUAUUCCACAAUGUUGGUCUUCUUUAAAAAUGCUUUUCAGUAUGUCAGCAACAUCCAGCCAUCACUCUUUCAAGGUCCAAAUGCUCCAAACCAAACUCCACUGGUUCUUCUUGAGGAUGUACCCAACAUCUAUGGUGAUACAGAUAUUGACCGUAACAAACACAUACACAAAAAAAGGAAACUUGCUGAAGGAAGAGAAAAAACAAUGCAGAGCUCAGAUGAUGAGGAUCCUUCUGGGAAGGCAAGAAGUCGCCAUAUUACAGUAAAUAAGGCUGAUCUUGCAAACUCCAUUGAAGUAUUAGAGAGUUUCAAACUGGCAAGAGAGAGCUGGGAGCUGCUUUAUUCUCUGGAAUCACUUGACAAAGAGUUCACCAGAAUUUGUUUGUCAUGGAAGACAGAAACCUGGCUUUGGUUAAGAAUCUUUCUUACAGACAUGAUCAUCUACCAGGGGCAGUACAAAAAAGCAAUUAGCAGCCUACAUCACUUGGCAGCUCUUCAGGGCUCUCAUUCCCCGCAGCAAAUGACAGGACAAGGAUCUUUAGAAAAUCAGAGAGCACUGAUCCAGUUAGCAUCGUGCCACUUUGCCCUUGGAGAAUAUCGGCAAACAUGUGAAAAAGUGCUUGACCUCAUGUGCUGUAUUUUACUUCCAAUACAAGAAGGAGGUAAAGUACAAGAGGAGCAACCUAAAGUCAAGUCAAAAUUCAGGAAAGGUUCUGAUUUGAAGCUUUGGCCAUGUACCAGUAGAGCUAUCAUGCCUUACUGCCUUCAUCUGUUGUUAGCUUGUUUCAAGCUCAGAGCUUUCACAGACAGCAGAGAUGAUAUGGCACUGGGCCACGUAGUUGUUCUGCUUCAGCAUGAGUGGCCGAGGGGUGAGAACUUGUUCCUGAAAGCCAUCAACAAAAUCUGCCAGCAAGGAAACUUCCAGUAUGAGAAUUUUUUCAACUAUGUCACAAAUAUUGAUAUGCUGGAGGAAUUUGCUUAUUUAAGAACACAGGAAGGAGGGAAAAUUCAUCUGGAACUGCUGCCAAAUCAAGCAAUGUUGAUCAAGCACCACACAGUGACCCGGGGUAUAACUAAAGGAGUGAAGGAGGACUUCCGCCUGGCCAUGGAGCGCCAGGUCUCGCGCUGUGGGGAAAAUCUCAUGGUGGUCUUGCAUAGGUUCUGCAUUAAUGAGAAAAUACUGCUGCUGCAGACUCUUGCUUGAACGGCCUGGAUCCUGAUGCAGUGUCUUUUAUGGAGAGAGGGGAAGGCUCUUUGUAUGAACAAGCAGCAUAGCAGUGGAAAAUCUCUUGUUCAGAGGGUCAAGAAGUUCCCUGGUGGACGAGUGCCAACCAAUCUGGUCAGAUGUGCUGCCUUUACAAACAAAUGCUGACUGCCGUUCAAAGCUCUGGGGUUUCUGGUAGGAGACAAUGGAAGCGAAGAAAACCAAAGGAUAGUAUCAGUGCAGAAAGAAUCAUAAGGAAUAUGUUUCCUAAUGUGUUUUACUGACCUGGGUAUAAAAAUGGAGCACCUGACCACCAUUUCUUGACAUCCACAAGGUAAUAUAUCAGCAAUAAGAGGAUGAAGGCAAAGCAGCUCAUGGUUGUCACAUAUGAUAUUGACCUACAAACAUUUCCAGUAGAAAGAGUAAUAUUUAGAGAACAAUGUGAUACAGAUCUCACUGCACAAAAGGUAAAACAUUCUCUGAGCUAAAAUAGUACUUUAACAAAAUCAUAUUGAAUGUUCCAUCUCUUUGCUUACCAUAAGUUCUUGUUUAUUGGAAUAAACCCUUCUUCUUUAGAACAUUUUGUCAAGAUAGCAGAAAUAACUCCCUGAAAUAGAAAGUAAAGUUUAUAUAACCACUGCAGCAUGUUUCAGAAAUAUUUGCAUUGCAUUAAAAUAUAUGUCUUUUAAAAAGAGCUACAUAACUAUCAGACUUACCAUUACUAUGCCCCAUAUGAUGAACCGACUCAUAAUUUGUUUGGGCUGGUCUUUGUAGAACAAAGUAAUUUUUCCUGCCUUAUGAAAACAAUUUAAAAAAAUAAUUAAUGCUCAUUCAUGGAACCACAUUUCAAGAGCCAGAUAUAUUUUCCACCAGUUACCUGUGCUAAGACAGAGACCACGAAUGGGAUUUCUGUCAGCCAAGUGGUUGAAAGACUCAAAUUGAGGACUCUUUGUAAAGAAUGGACACACAAGGGGAAAAUAUGUAAAUGCAACCCAAUCAGCAGUAGAGGUGCACCUUUUCUCCCUUUCUCACUAUGUUAACUGAAGAAGGGGACAAGCAUCUUUAUUAGGUCAAUGCAACAUAAGUUGAGCUCCUCUCCCUUGGUAAGGAACAACACCAGAGCCAGCCCCAAGAGCUUCUCCACAGCAUCCCUGAACUGCCCAGAGCACAUGCUUCUUUUCAUACACCACUAAGCAAUGUGUCCUGAUAAUUCACUCCUCAGUGUCACACUUCUCUUCCAAGAUCUGCCUUACAGAUAUUCCCAAUCAGUUUUUCCCCAGUGCUACAUGUGGUAACAUUCCUUUCCCAGCACAAGAGUUCCAGUUUGGUUCACAGCUGCUGCACCAUCAGAAAAGCCAUAAGUGCAUCAAAACUGCAUCAAAAAGUGCAGAACUUUAAACAGUUGUGAGCUGUGGGCUUUUGGUGUUGGUAACACCAGUGUGAAGCCCUUCAUCUCUCUUGUCAGGGAAGGUGAGCACACAGCACCUGUGCAAGAUGGUUAUCACUGCAUGACAAGCAGAAAAUCAGCAAGGGGGAGCAAGUACAUCUGCAGCUUUUGAAACCCUUACAAUGAAGUUGUGAAGUUUGUGUGUCAGCCUUAUUUUCCAACAUACAGAGCCAGCUUACUCCCACCAUAAGCCCAACCUUGAAACACCAGGUGGCUAUUUUGCAAGCUUCUUGCGUCCAUCCCUUAAAAAAACUGAGAAGUCUCAGUGUAUCUAAUGCAAGCUACUGCCAUGUUAGCUUCCACUUCUCUGGCACUCACCUCAGGCUAAGCCAUUGCAAAAGCAUUGUUCUGAAAAAGGUUUUAUUAGAACCAGUCUCAGCCUUAAGUAAAGAAACCCAGUUGCCUCCCCACUACCAAGCUUCCUUCAAAUCUUCCCAUUAUAGCAUGCAGCCAGAAAGAAAACAAGGUACCUGCAGUCCCAAAAAUGCCAAAACAAUGCUAUUUAUGGUCCCCAGGAUCCCUUCAGGAUCAUAUGGCAUCGUUGAUUGGUAAGUCACCUUAGAGAGAAAACAGCUGUUACAGAGCACCCAAGCAACCGAACUCCUUUCUUUUAAAUCUCCCUGCACGUAUCAUUCCCAAGCCACUCCUGACAUAUUGCAAACCAAAAACUACUUACACCUGAAGAGGGAUGCUGAUACAUAUGAUUUUCUCCAAGAAGCAAGCGGUCAAUGUAACCAGCUGCUCCUCCGGUGCAGUUGGGAUACUUUCCGAAGUCCCCAAUGCCCCCAGGACCAAGAUAGCCCCUAGGACAGAGGCAGAGAGCUUGUAGCACAAAAUGUUGUUACAGUCCAGCUGCACAGCAACUGGCCCACUGAACCAGCACACUAAAUGCUCAAUGUUUUCCCAGGCUAGAGGCUCACAAUGGCAAUGCAGUGAUCAUAUAUUGAUCAUAUACACAGACCUCAGGGAGAUUUUAAUCCUCUUCUUUAAAUAGAAAGGAAGAGUGACAUCACCUGUAUAACACCUGGUACUUGAAUACCAAAGUAAAGAACGUUUUUUCACAUGAUGGAUGCUUCUUUUAACCCUGCUGGCCUGAAAGCUCUUCCCUUCAUUCUCUCCCUAUGGCUAGUAAAAUGUACCCUCCACUCAGGAGAAGAGAACCAACCUGAUACCCCACAUUAAGUUGUGAGUGCAUGGUCUUACCUGGGACAAUCUGGCACUGGUAACAAGAAGGUCAGGCAGAGCCAAAUUGUUUCUAACACCAGAAUAAAAAUCCACUGUGGCCAGUAGGGGAGAAUAUCCUGCAGAGCAGGGAAUCGUCCUUCCUGCAUGAGAUGGAGGGAGGGGUGUUAGCUGGCAAGUAAAAACCAUGCCCUUGGGGACAACCUGUAUUUCCUGGCAGGCAAUCUUGUACCCCAGAUACAAGAGGGAGACUUCAUUACAAAACUGGGUUUUACCAACAGACCUUUCAUUUUCACAAGCAAUUUCCAGACACUUAGUUACUUGGGACAGGGGGGAGAAACAAACCAAAACAAAAGCCCUUAAUGUUUUUUAACUUGGAAAAUGUCAAAAGGAAUUUUGAUUCAUGCAUAGAACAAAAGCCUUUUGGGAAAACAGACUCUAGAAAGGCCAAAACCCAGUAUUACUUUCCCCUGCUGUAGAAAAACCUUGCCAAAAUUAACUGGACAAAACACAGACUACAGGAUUCAGCAUAGAGAUGCCUGUUCCUGGGCUUCCUUGGCAGUGGAAAAGUCACAAAAGUGUCUUGGAAUGCCUGUUUUUAAGAACUGUCUGAAUGGAUUGUUGAAAUCCUCAAAUAUAUUAAAGUUAGAUGUGACAAAA
This is an RNA transcript of Haemorhous mexicanus (house finch), 5459 nucleotides long. It is a transcript of the gene named integrator complex subunit 10, with no coding region annotated. NCBI's taxonomy places the organism in Eukaryota, Metazoa, Chordata, Aves, Passeriformes, Fringillidae. The transcript has 19 exons. The record is from RefSeq and is a predicted model, not a curated record.